UUGCGUGUCUUGGAGUCGGGUUGUUUGGGAGCGCAGCCCAAAGYAGGUGGUAAACUUCAUCUAAGACUGAAUAUGACUACGAGUCCGAUAGCGAACAAGUACCGUGAGGGAAAGUUGCAAAGCACUUUGAAGAGAGAGUUAAAGAGGACGUGAAACCGAUGAGGUGGAAACGGACAGAGCUGGCGUAUCUGGCCUGCAUUCAGCCGCUGCGCGUCGGGCCCCGGUUUGCCGCACUCCAGAUUGGGAAGGUGGCUGGGCUGCUGGCGUGCUUGUGGUGCAUUUGCAGGUGGAGUGCGCUGAGGCGCUCGGCUCAGCGGCAUGAGCUCGGCCUUGAGGCCAACCGUGCAAGCGGUCUGGUACCCGGGUCGGGGGAGUGUUGUUUGGGCUGAGUGUUCGCUUGGGCACUGGUUUCGGGCCCGGGUGGGUGCCGAGCUGGCGGUCGACGUCGGUCGCAUGCGACACGUGUCAGCAAUCAGUUCGGUCCUGCUCGAGCUCUCGCGUGUCCGGCCUCGGUGUAAAAGCCGGUCAUCUGUCCGAC
This 538-nucleotide ribosomal RNA is filed under the name Helicotylenchus pseudorobustus. RNAcentral's name for it is "LSU rRNA". It matches the Rfam family "Eukaryotic large subunit ribosomal RNA", at positions 250 to 648 of the family's 3401-position model. The record is from RNAcentral. Lineage: Eukaryota; Metazoa; Nematoda; Chromadorea; Rhabditida; Hoplolaimidae.